Molecule: ribosomal RNA, 662 nt
Filed under: uncultured bacterium
Lineage: Bacteria
Description: bacterial SSU rRNA
Rfam family: Bacterial small subunit ribosomal RNA
Source: RNAcentral
CCUUGUACAGGGGGAUAACAGUUGGAAACGGCUGCUAAUACCGCAUAAGCGCACAGCAUCGCAUGAUGCAGUGUGAAAAACUCCGGUGGUAUAAGAUGGACCCGCGUUGGAUUAGCUAGUUGGUGAGGUAACGGCCCACCAAGGCGACGAUCCAUAGCCGACCUGAGAGGGUGACCGGCCACAUUGGGACUGAGACACGGCCCAAACUCCUACGGGAGGCAGCAGUGGGGAAUAUUGCACAAUGGGCGAAAGCCUGAUGCAGCGACGCCGCGUGAGCGAAGAAGUAUUUCGGUAUGUAAAGCUCUAUCAGCAGGGAAGAUAAUGACGGUACCUGACUAAGAAGCACCGGCUAAAUACGUGCCAGCAGCCGCGGUAAUACGUAUGGUGCAAGCGUUAUCCGGAUUUACUGGGUGUAAAGGGAGCGCAGGCGGUGCGGCAAGUCUGAUGUGAAAGCCCGGGGCUCAACCCCGGUACUGCAUUGGAAACUGUCGUACUAGAGUGUCGGAGGGGUAAGCGGAAUUCCUAGUGUAGCGGUGAAAUGCGUAGAUAUUAGGAGGAACACCAGUGGCGAAGGCGGCUUACUGGACGAUAACUGACGCUGAGGCUCGAAAGCGUGGGGAGCAAACAGGAUUAGAUACCCUGGUAGUCCACGCCGUAAACGA